UGUAUUGUCUAUUUUAAUUUGGGAUCCUCAUGGAUUAGAUUGGCAUUCUGGAGUAAGAGAGAGAAUUGCUGGCAUUGAUAUUGUAAAAUGCAUGAUAUGAAAAUGCCACAUCCCAAAGUGGGGUUCAAUUUGUAUCUUGAUCCUGGCCUGAAAUUCUUUCAGAGUGAAAUUCCUUACAAUAGUGUAUUUCACAAUAUAAUAUGGCAAGAGCCAAGACUGGCA
RNAcentral lists this unclassified non-coding RNA (222 nucleotides) under Hevea brasiliensis (rubber tree). Lineage: Eukaryota; Viridiplantae; Streptophyta; Magnoliopsida; Malpighiales; Euphorbiaceae. The record is from RNAcentral.